This 506-nucleotide ribosomal RNA is filed under the name Alternaria tenuissima. RNAcentral's name for it is "eukaryotic LSU rRNA". The stretch from base 131 to 284 matches the Rfam family "5.8S ribosomal RNA". Lineage: Eukaryota; Fungi; Ascomycota; Dothideomycetes; Pleosporales; Pleosporaceae. The record is from RNAcentral.
UAACACAUUGCAAAAUUAAUGACCCUUGUCGUUUGCCCACUUCUUGUUUCCUUGGUGGGUUCGCCCACCACUAGGACAAACAUAAACCUUUUGUAAUUGCAAUCAGCGUCAGUAACAAAUUAAUAAUUACAACUUUCAACAACGGAUCUCUUGGUUCUGGCAUCGAUGAAGAACGCAGCGAAAUGCGAUAAGUAGUGUGAAUUGCAGAAUUCAGUGAAUCAUCGAAUCUUUGAACGCACAUUGCGCCCUUUGGUAUUCCAAAGGGCAUGCCUGUUCGAGCGUCAUUUGUACCCUCAAGCUUUGCUUGGUGUUGGGCGUCUUGUCUCUAGCUUUGCUGGAGACUCGCCUUAAAGUAAUUGGCAGCCGGCCUACUGGUUUCGGAGCGCAGCACAAGUCGCACUCUCUAUCAGCAAAGGUCUAGCAUCCAUUAAGCCUUUUUUUCAACUUUUGACCUCGGAUCAGGUAGGGAUACCCGCUGAACUUAAGCAUAUCAAUAAGCGGAGGAA